GAUGAACGCUGGCGGCGUGCCUAAUACAUGCAAGUCGAGCUAACGGACGAGAAGCUUGCUUUUCUGAUGUUAGCGGCGGACGGGUGAGUAACACGUGGAUAACCUACCUAUAAGACUGGGAUAACUUCGGGAAACCGGAGCUAAUACCGGAUAAUAUUUUGAACCGCAUGGUUCAAAAGUGAAAGACGGUCUUGCUGUCACUUAUAGAUGGAUCCGCGCUGCAUUAGCUAGUUGGUAAGGUAACGGCUUACCAAGGCAACGAUGCAUAGCCGACCUGAGAGGGUGAUCGGCCACACUGGAACUGAGACACGGUCCAGACUCCUACGGGAGGCAGCAGUAGGGAAUCUUCCGCAAUGGGCGAAAGCCUGACGGAGCAACGCCGCGUGAGUGAUGAAGGUCUUCGGAUCGUAAAACUCUGUUAUUAGGGAAGAACAUAUGUGUAAGUAACUGUGCACAUCUUGACGGUACCUAAUCAGAAAGCCACGGCUAACUACGUG
RNAcentral lists this ribosomal RNA (497 nucleotides) under uncultured bacterium. Its description in RNAcentral is "partial 16S ribosomal RNA". It matches the Rfam family "Bacterial small subunit ribosomal RNA", at positions 28 to 507 of the family's 1533-position model. The record is from RNAcentral.